UGGGGAAUAUUGCGCAAUGGGCGAAAGCCUGACGCAGCGACGCCGCGUGAGGGAUGACGGCCUUCGGGUUGUAAACCUCUUUCAGCAGGGACGAAGCGAAAGUGACGGUACCUGCAGAAGAAGCACCGGCCAACUACGUGCCAGCAGCCGCGGUAACACGUAGGGUGCGAGCGUUGUCCGGAAUUAUUGGGCGUAAAGAGCUUGUAGGCGGCUUGUCACGUCGGCUGUGAAAACCCGGGCUCAACCUCGGGCCUGCAGUCGAUACGGGCUAGCUAGAGUAUGGUAGGGGAGACUGGAAUACCAGGUGUAGCGGUGGAAUGCGCAGAUAUCUGGUGGAACACCGGUGGCGAAGGCGGGUCUCUGGGCCAUUACUGACGCUGAGAAGCGAAAGCGUGGGGAGCGAACAGGAUUAGAUACCCUGGUAGUCCACGCCGUAAACGUUGGGCGCUAGGUGUGGGGACCAUUCCACGGUUUCCGUGCCGCAGCUAACGCAUUAAGCGCCCCGCCUGGGGAGUAC
This 517-nucleotide ribosomal RNA is filed under the name uncultured bacterium. RNAcentral's name for it is "bacterial SSU rRNA". It matches the Rfam family "Bacterial small subunit ribosomal RNA", at positions 355 to 883 of the family's 1533-position model. The record is from RNAcentral.